Molecule: long non-coding RNA, 622 nt
Organism: Lacerta agilis (Sand lizard)
Lineage: Eukaryota; Metazoa; Chordata; Lepidosauria; Squamata; Lacertidae
Exons: 4
Source: RefSeq, a predicted model, not a curated record
CUCGAGGAGCAAGUAAUUACAGCUAGUCUAUUUGGGCCUCUCUUGAACUAUCCAGUAAUCACAAGGACCUGACAGUUUCCCCUCAACUAGUGCAACUUGGCAGCAGGGAGAGACUCUGACUUUGUGAAUUAGGAUCCUCAGCAAACAAGAACAGGGACAAUUCUGAAGAAAUCUAUAGGAUGUUAAGCAAGAGCUUGAUUAAUUAUGACACACAUCAAAUAUUUCAAAAGAGAGCAAUAUGUGCAAUGUGGCCAAGAUAACCGUUUUGGGGUGGCCUGACCGAGGCACAUUCAAUCUCCGAAAACUUAAAAUCACUGCAUUGCCCUUAAUGAUAAUGUUUGGAAGUGACAGAGGUGGCUGGGUGCCGAAGAUAUCCUGCAACGGAGCCGGCUCUUGCUGCAAAGGAGAUAACACCAACAGUGUGAAUCAAUCCUAGACCUCGGAAGGCCUACACACCCAUCGCACACCAUCGUAGACUUGACUCACCAAAAAAUCCCCAUUGUAGCUCUACAAUGCCAGAAGUGGAUACAGAAACUUUAUACAGUUGUCUGAGGCUUCCUGAGGGAGAUCAUACGUGCAUUGCAUCGAGUGUGUCAUCUGUAAAAAAUUAUAAAUGUUCUCC